This 301-nucleotide ribosomal RNA is filed under the name uncultured bacterium. RNAcentral's name for it is "partial 16S ribosomal RNA". It matches the Rfam family "Bacterial small subunit ribosomal RNA", at positions 509 to 808 of the family's 1533-position model. The record is from RNAcentral.
CAGUCGCCGCGGUAAUACGGAGGGUGCAAGCGUUAAUCGGAAUUACUGGGCGUAAAGCGUGCGUAGGCGGUUCGUUAAGUCUGUUGUGAAAGCCCCGGGCUCAACCUGGGAAUGGCAAUGGAUACUGGCGAGCUAGAGUGUGUCAGAGGAUGGUGGAAUUCCACGUGUAGCAGUGAAAUGCGUAGAGAUGUGGAGGAAUACCGAUGGCGAAGGCAGCCCCCUGGGCCAAUACUGACGCUCAUGCACGAAAGCGUGGGGAGCAAACAGGAUUAGAUACCCGGUAGUCCCUGUCUCUUAUACA